AACCCAUAAUCAAUAAAACAGUAAAAUAUGCACACGAAACUAUGAAAUGAAAACAUCAAACCUCAUACUGCAUUUAAAACCGUAAAAUAGGCCAAACAAUAGCUAACCGACAAACACACCAGACUCGGGCUCCAUUAGCGACCUUAAACAAUUUCACACAUCUGUUGAUUCAUGAAAUACCGUUUUAUCAUUUAUUCAACUUUAAUACCGUGAUAGGGAAUAGGGUGAGGGAUCCUUACUUGGUUCGGGGUCCGAAUACGGCUUUACAGUGCGCUUACAGGCUGUCCCUAAUUUUUCCUGAAUUUUU
RNAcentral lists this long non-coding RNA (307 nucleotides) under Carica papaya (papaya). RNAcentral describes it as "long non-coding RNA (CPAP_LNC014549)". The record is from RNAcentral. Lineage: Eukaryota; Viridiplantae; Streptophyta; Magnoliopsida; Brassicales; Caricaceae.